AAGAAACACUCUGGGACAUGUGAUCAAAAGUGUCUUGACAAAAUUUGAGCUUGCUACUGCAAUAAAGCUAACCUAGUCCAGUGCUCUCCCUUCUGUCAUCAGACAAGCCAUUACAUAGACUUAAACAAU
This is a small nucleolar RNA of Otolemur garnettii (small-eared galago), 129 nucleotides long. The record is from Ensembl. NCBI's taxonomy places the organism in Eukaryota, Metazoa, Chordata, Mammalia, Primates, Galagidae.